AUUGAACGCUGGCGGAAUGCUUUACACAUGCAAGUCGGGCGGCAGCGCGGGGGCAACCCUGGCGGCGAGCGGCGAACGGGUGAGUAAUACAUCGGAACGUGUCCUUAAGUGGGGGAUAGCUCGGCGAAAGCCGGAUUAAUACCGCAUAAGCUCUGAGGAGGAAAGCGGGGGAUCGUCUAGAAACUGGAGACUAGAAACUAGAGACUAGAUUGAUAAGGUGCGGCGAAGCCGCGCUUCGUUAGUCUAGUUUCCAGUCUCUAGUGUCUAGUUUCUAGACGACCUCGCGCUGUUGGAGCGGCCGAUGUCGGAUUAGCUAGUUGGUGGGGUAAAGGCUCACCAAGGCGACGAUCCGUAGCUGGUCUGAGAGGAUGAUCAGCCACACUGGAACUGAGACACGGUCCAGACUCCUACGGGAGGCAGCAGUGGGGUAAGUUUUGGACAAGUGGGGCAACCCUGAUCCAGCCAUUCCGCGUGAGUGAAGAAGG
RNAcentral lists this ribosomal RNA (485 nucleotides) under uncultured bacterium. Its description in RNAcentral is "bacterial SSU rRNA". It matches the Rfam family "Bacterial small subunit ribosomal RNA", at positions 30 to 414 of the family's 1533-position model. The record is from RNAcentral.